UGGGGAAUAUUGGACAAUGGGCGAAAGCCUGAUCCAGCCAUGCCGCGUGUGUGAAGAAGGUCUUCGGAUUGUAAAGCACUUUAAGUUGGGAGGAAGGGCAGUAAGCGAAUACCUUGCUGUUUUGACGUUACCGACAGAAUAAGCACCGGCUAACUCUGUGCCAGCAGCCGCGGUAAUACAGAGGGUGCAAGCGUUAAUCGGAAUUACUGGGCGUAAAGCGCGCGUAGGUGGUUCGUUAAGUUGAGUGUGAAAGCCCCGGGCUCAACCUGGGAACUGCAUCCAAAACUGGCGAGCUAGAGUAGGGCAGAGGGUGGUGGAAUUUCCUGUGUAGCGGUGAAAUGCGUAGAUAUAGGAAGGAACACCAGUGGCGAAGGCGACCACCUGGGCUCAUACUGACACUGAGGUGCGAAAGCGUGGCGAGCAAACAGG
Molecule: ribosomal RNA, 429 nt
Filed under: Pseudomonadota bacterium
Lineage: Bacteria; Pseudomonadati; Pseudomonadota
Description: Proteobacteria bacterium partial 16S ribosomal RNA
Rfam family: Bacterial small subunit ribosomal RNA
Source: RNAcentral